UAGAUACUCCCUCCAUUCCAAAUUACUCGUCGCAGAAAUGGAUGUAUCUAGAACUAAAAUACAUCUAGAUACAUCCAUACCUGCGACAAGGAAUUCGGAACGGAGGGAGUAUAAG
Triticum aestivum (bread wheat) is the source of this 115-nucleotide non-coding RNA. The record is from Rfam. NCBI's taxonomy places the organism in Eukaryota, Viridiplantae, Streptophyta, Magnoliopsida, Poales, Poaceae.